GUCAUGCUUUCUGACUGUGGGAGAGAACCCAGGCAUGCACAGGGGGAACAUGCUAACUCCAUGCAGAAAGACCCCGGGCCGGGAAUCGAACCCAGGACCUUCUUGCUGCAAGGCAACAGCUCUACCAACUGUGCCACUGUGC
This is a long non-coding RNA of Xiphophorus hellerii (green swordtail), 142 nucleotides long. RefSeq lists it as uncharacterized. The transcript is spliced from 3 exons. Lineage: Eukaryota; Metazoa; Chordata; Actinopteri; Cyprinodontiformes; Poeciliidae. The record is from RefSeq and is a predicted model, not a curated record.